UAGGGAAUAUUAGUAAUCUGGGAAACCGGGAACUAGCAACGCCGCGUGUGCGAUGAAGGCCUUCGGGUUGUAAAGCACUUUUUAAGGGAAUGAGAAAGGACAGUACCCUUAGAAUAAGUCUCGGCUAACUACGUGCCAGCAGCCGCGGUAAGACGUAGGAGACGAGCGUUAUUCGGAUUUACUGGGCGUAAAGCGCGUGCAGGCGGUUUGGUAAGUUGGAUGUGAAAGCUCCCGGCUCAACUGGGAGAGGUCGUUCAAAACUGCCAGACUAGAGAAUAGGAGAGGGAGGUGGAAUUCCGGGUGUAGUGGUGAAAUGCGUAGAUAUCCGGAGGAACACCAGUGGCGAAGGCGACCUCCUGGCCUAUUUCUGACGCUCAGACGCGAAAGCUAGGGUAGCAAACG
RNAcentral lists this ribosomal RNA (402 nucleotides) under uncultured bacterium. RNAcentral describes it as "bacterial SSU rRNA". It matches the Rfam family "Bacterial small subunit ribosomal RNA", at positions 355 to 774 of the family's 1533-position model. The record is from RNAcentral.